Molecule: ribosomal RNA, 516 nt
Filed under: uncultured bacterium
Lineage: Bacteria
Description: partial 16S ribosomal RNA
Rfam family: Bacterial small subunit ribosomal RNA
Source: RNAcentral
GACGAACGCUGGCGGCAUGCCUAAUACAUGCAAGUCGAGCGGACUUGAUGAGAAGCUUGCUUCUCAGAUAGUUAGCGGCGGACGGGUGAGUAACACGUAGGCAACCUGCCCUCAAGCUUGGGACAACUACCGGAAACGGUAGCUAAUACCGAAUACUUGUUUUCUUCGCCUGAAGGAAACUGGAAAGACGGAGCAAUCUGUCACUUGGGGCUGGGCCUGCGGCGCAUUAGCUAGUUGGUGAGGUAACGGCUCACCAAGGCGAUGAUGCGUAGCCGACCUGAGAGGGUGAUCGGCCACACUGGGACUGAGACACGGCCCAGACUCCUACGGGAGGCAGCAGUAGGGAAUCUUCCGCAAUGGGCGAAAGCCUGACGGAGCAAUGCCGCGUGAGUGAUGAAGGUUUUCGGAUCGUAAAGCUCUGUUGCCAGGGAAGAACGCUUGGGAGAGUAACUGCUCCCAAGGUGACGGUACCUGAGAAGAAAGCCCCGGCUAACUACGUGCCAGCCGCCGCCGUAA